RNAcentral lists this microRNA precursor (103 nucleotides) under Marmota monax (woodchuck). Lineage: Eukaryota; Metazoa; Chordata; Mammalia; Rodentia; Sciuridae. The record is from RNAcentral.
ACUGGGAUAGCUGGGUCAAAUGGUGAGUUCAUUUCAAGUUUUCUAAGGAACCUCCAUACUGCUUCCCAAAGUGGUUGCACCAAUUUGCAGUGCCACCAGCAAU